This 492-nucleotide ribosomal RNA is filed under the name uncultured bacterium. RNAcentral's name for it is "partial 16S ribosomal RNA". It matches the Rfam family "Bacterial small subunit ribosomal RNA", at positions 29 to 507 of the family's 1533-position model. The record is from RNAcentral.
AGUGAACGCUGGCGGUAGGCCUAACACAUGCAAGUCGAACGGCAGCACAGUAAGAGCUCGCUCUUACGGGUGGCGAGUGGCGGACGGGUGAGGAAUACAUCGGAAUCUACUUUUUCGUGGGGGAUAACGUAGGGACACUUACGCUACUACCGCAUACGACCUACGGGUGAAAGCAGGGGAUCUUCGGACCUUGCGCGAUUGAAUGAGACGAUGUCGGAUUAGCUAGUUGGCGGGGUAAAGGCCCACCAAGGCGACGAUCCGUAGCUGGUCUGAGAGGAUGAUCAGCCACACUGGAACUGAGACACGGUCCAGACUCCUACGGGAGGCAGCAGUGGGGAAUAUUGGACAAUGGGCGCAAGCCUGAUCCAGCCAUACCGCGUGAGUGAAGAAGGCCUUCGGGUUGUAAAGCCCUUUUGUUGGGAAAGAAAAGCAGCAGGUUAAUACCCCGCUGUUCUGACGGUACCCAAAGAAUAAGCACCGGCUAACUUCGUG